CCUGCCCCGGACGGUUCAGGUUGAGGAUGCUGCAAGCAUCCUCAUUGAACCAGUUGUUCCCGAUGACGUUGUGCGGGUCGGCGGGACGAGA
This 91-nucleotide transfer RNA is filed under the name Mycobacteroides abscessus subsp. abscessus. RNAcentral's name for it is "tRNA-Cys(gca)". Lineage: Bacteria; Bacillati; Actinomycetota; Actinomycetes; Mycobacteriales; Mycobacteriaceae. The record is from RNAcentral.